ACACCUCAACUCUUCAUGGUUUUCCGUGAUGAGCUUGGACUUUGGGGGUUUGCUGGCCUAUGGUCGGCUCCUCUAAAAUGAAUCAGCUUUCCAGUGUUUGGUGGGCGUCACAGGUGUGAUAACUAUCUACGCUUGUGGUUUUCCCACCAGGUAACCUUCAGCAGUGGAGGUUCGCUGGAGCUCACAGAUGUCUCUCCUCAGUGAAGACAACCCUUUGAAU
This 220-nucleotide unclassified non-coding RNA is filed under the name uncultured Tomentella. RNAcentral describes it as "sequence contains ITS2". Lineage: Eukaryota; Fungi; Basidiomycota; Agaricomycetes; Thelephorales; Thelephoraceae. The record is from RNAcentral.